RNAcentral lists this non-coding RNA (26 nucleotides) under Cricetulus griseus (Chinese hamster). Lineage: Eukaryota; Metazoa; Chordata; Mammalia; Rodentia; Cricetidae. The record is from RNAcentral.
ACUCCUCUAGAUAGUCAAGUUCUGAU